This is a small nuclear RNA of Lepisosteus oculatus (spotted gar), 103 nucleotides long. The record is from Ensembl. NCBI's taxonomy places the organism in Eukaryota, Metazoa, Chordata, Actinopteri, Semionotiformes, Lepisosteidae.
GUUUUAGAAGCACUUGCACCGAAAUUGGAGAGAUACAGAGAAAGAUUUGCAUGGCCCCUGUGAAAGGAUGACAUCCUAAUUUUCUGAGACUUUAUCUCUACGC